RNAcentral lists this transfer RNA (75 nucleotides) under Macrococcoides caseolyticum. Its description in RNAcentral is "Macrococcus caseolyticus tRNA-Glu". It matches the Rfam family "tRNA". Rfam says of the family: Transfer RNA (tRNA) molecules are approximately 80 nucleotides in length. Lineage: Bacteria; Bacillati; Bacillota; Bacilli; Caryophanales; Staphylococcaceae. The record is from RNAcentral.
GGCCCCUUGGUCAAGCGGUUAAGACACCGCCCUUUCACGGCGGUAACACGGGUUCGAAUCCCGUAGGGGUUACCA